This 253-nucleotide ribosomal RNA is filed under the name uncultured bacterium. RNAcentral describes it as "partial 16S ribosomal RNA". It matches the Rfam family "Bacterial small subunit ribosomal RNA", at positions 524 to 776 of the family's 1533-position model. The record is from RNAcentral.
UACGUAGGGUGCGAGCGUUAAUCGGAAUUACUGGGCGUAAAGCGUGCGCAGGCGGUUUUGUAAGUCCGCUGUGAAAUCCCCGGGCUUAACCUGGGAACUGCGUUUGAAACUACAAGGCUAGAGUGUAGCAGAGGGGGGUGGAAUUCCACGUGUAGCAGUGAAAUGCGUAGAGAUGUGGAGGAACACCGAUGGCGAAGGCAGCCCCCUGGGUUAACACUGACGCUCAGGCACGAAAGCGUGGGGAGCAAACAGG